RNAcentral lists this transfer RNA (65 nucleotides) under Staphylinidae sp. BMNH 1274217. RNAcentral describes it as "tRNA-Leu". It matches the Rfam family "tRNA". Rfam says of the family: Transfer RNA (tRNA) molecules are approximately 80 nucleotides in length. Their secondary structure includes four short double-helical elements and three loops (D, anti-codon, and T loops). The record is from RNAcentral. Lineage: Eukaryota; Metazoa; Arthropoda; Insecta; Coleoptera; Staphylinidae. RNAcentral also lists the same sequence under 1 other name.
UCUAAUAUGGCAGAUUAGUGCAAUGGAUUUAAAUCCCAUAUAUAAAGUUUAAACUUUUUUUAGAA